This 371-nucleotide ribosomal RNA is filed under the name uncultured organism. RNAcentral's name for it is "bacterial SSU rRNA". It matches the Rfam family "Bacterial small subunit ribosomal RNA", at positions 526 to 896 of the family's 1533-position model. The record is from RNAcentral.
CGUAGGGUGCGAGCGUUAAUCGGAAUUACUGGGCGUAAAGCGUGCGCAGGCGGUUUGUUAAGAUAGGCGUGAAAUCCCCGGGCUCAACCUGGGAACUGCGCUUAUGACUGGCAAGCUAGAGUACGGCAGAGGGGGGUGGAAUUCCACGUGUAGCAGUGAAAUGCGUAGAGAUGUGGAGGAACACCAAUGGCGAAGGCAGCCCCCUGGGUCGAUACUGACGCUCAUGCACGAAAGCGUGGGUAGCAAACAGGAUUAGAUACCCUGGUAGUCCACGCCCUAAACGAUGUCAACUAGGUGUUGGAUGGGUAAAACCAUUUAGUACCGGAGCUAACGCGUGAAGUUGACCGCCUGGGGAUACGGCCGCAAGGUUA